UACGGAGGGGGCUAGCGUUGUUCGGAAUUACUGGGCGUAAAGCGCACGUAGGCGGCUUUGCAAGUCAGAGGUGAAAGCCCGGGGCUCAACCCCGGAAUAGCCUUUGAGACUGCAUCGCUAGAAUUGUGGAGAGGUAAGUGGAAUUCCGAGUGUAGAGGUGAAAUUCGUAGAUAUUCGGAAGAACACCAGUGGCGAAGGCGACUUACUGG
This 209-nucleotide ribosomal RNA is filed under the name uncultured bacterium. Its description in RNAcentral is "partial 16S ribosomal RNA". It matches the Rfam family "Bacterial small subunit ribosomal RNA", at positions 524 to 732 of the family's 1533-position model. The record is from RNAcentral.